CCACGCUAAUGUUUGAUUGUUUGGCUUUUGUUUUUUUCAAAACCUGCGCUGAUGUAGGGAGUCCAUAUCUAUGAACUUGCAAAUUUUUACUAAAGCCCAUGGGGAAGGCCAUCUCUGCUCCCUCCCUCCCUUCCUCCCCUUUUAUACACACACACACACACAUCUACAUUCAUAUUUGACAUGACAAAACUAAAGCUGGGAGAAGUUUGGUGAGUGUCCUUUAGAGCUGGGUGAAACCAUAAAGCAUUUUCCCAUGAUUAUCGAUUCAUUCAGGGGAAACUGAGUUGAUGAUGAUGAGAAAUAUUGUCCUUAAGAACUGCCUUUGGAUAUGUUGUAGAAGAGAGCCUUGCUCUGAAGAUGUCUGGUGAUGAAUAUUCCUUUUUAAAAGUGAGAAGACCUUCAGUGAGACGCAGCUCUCCGGUGGAGGGUGCGCAUUCUGAAUGUGUGAGAUCCUGUGAAGCUCUGUCCGAAGAAAUGGAGGGCAGGAAGCCCAUUCCUGGACCUCCCAUGUCUAAAACACCUCUUCCAGAGGAGCCAGGCCCCAGGGAAAAGCAAAGUAUCAGGGCUCCGACUCCAAGAAAGAGACUUUCUACAGUGAAUGCUUCUGAAGAACCUAGUGACCAGCCCCUGGGCUCAACAGUGCAACAGGAGGAUCAGCAAGUUGAGAGUUCCAAGAAGAAGGCAAAGGCAUCCUUCAUGAAAAAGUCCCGUCCUGGGGCUAAUGAAUUACCUGGCCCCAGAAAGACUAUAACAAGAAAAAUGAAGAAGCAUUUGCUAAAGAAGAAACACACGGUAGACAAAGUCCGGCAAUGGGAACUACGCCAACUUAAGGAUAUUGAAGAGGCCACUAACUGGGAGCUGACGAUUGAGAUGGAAUAAAAUCUCAUCUAGGAACCUGAAAAGAGGAAUUUAUUUUGACAUUACUUUAAAUGAGGGAAAAUUUCUUCUCAAACACUUCGCUAGUUGUGCAAGAUAUUUUAAGUGAUCUCCAUGGGUGGGUAGGAGGUAGUUUUCUUAUCCAUUGACCUUUCCUUGAACAGAUUUGGUGGAAAUACUCGAAAUGAGUGCUGCUUAGUGGGGCAAUUGAGGAUAUUGUAAUGUUUUUCAUGAAAUCACCCCAAAUGGAGAUAAAGUUGUUACGUUUGCUAUGGAAUAUGCAUCUUCAUGAUAUGCCUGACAGGAAUAAUAUUCCAACUUUCAAUAUCUAUUAGAAAAACUUGGAUUAUGUUUUGUCCCUGUGUCCUGAAAAUGAAACCCCAGUACAUUUUUGCAUUAAAUACAUUGAUGCAUACUGCAUUAGCUGGGGUGAAUUUUUACUCCAUUCCACUACACAGUUGUUGAAUGUCAGUAAGUUCAGCUGCCAGAGUGCCCUGGAGAGGUCAGAAAGGACAGUAAAGGGGAAAGCAAAGUGAGUUUCCUCCUUCAUCCCCUAACAUAUGGACCUGGAAGCCCAGGCAGGCUUCAUUUUGUACGAAUCCUCAGACCCUGUGUCUCAGGGCAACACCCUGGCACCCGUAAUGUGGGCAGUUGGGCACCUUACACAGGGAGGACUGCACACUGCCCUUGUCAGUUACGACCCUGCCAGAACAAUUCUAGAAGUGUGGCCUUGUUGUCCGUUCAAUCCUCCGUGUACAGAUGUAGCCCCCAAACUGGAGGAGCUUCUUAAGGUUUUGGUAAUAGAAGUGACAACAUUUGGAGCCCAGCCCACUCUUGAUGGGUCUCAGGAAUCCUCUGGAUCAAAACUGUUGCCUCAGGAUUCUCCAGACCCCCUUGGGUGCAUUGAGUACCCAUUGAGUAUGAAUGACUGUUGGAAGUCCCCCUAAAAAUACAUCAAGGAGGAGGGACAUGUUCCCUGUCCACAGAACGUUUAUCUGGUAAUCCCGUUAUAAAUAUCAAGUGCACUUCUUCCAUUCAUCAAAAUAAGACAAAUGGGAUGAAGACGUAUAUCUACAUCUGUGCCGAGGAUGAGUAUGAAUAAAAAGGGAAGGGUUGGAAAUGGCUGGUGGAGUUGUGCAGACUGGGGUGUCAAGGAUUAAAGGGGGAAGGCUUGCUGGAGAAUGGAUCGCUUCACUGGAAGAAUGUUUUCCUAGGGUAGCCACUGCCAUUUCUCAUUUAGAUCACCAUCUGGAUAUCAUCAGUCCCUAAACAGAAAAACAGGCUGGUUCAGCCAGGCCAGAAUAAACGUGACCAGGAGAAGCUAAGAAACAGAGCCCUCUCUUGAUUUGAGCAAAGGACUCCCACAGAUGCCCAAAGUAAUAGAUGAUAAACUUAGGGUGUCUCCCUGCAACAGGAGUCUAAAUCAAACAACCCCAGCUCUGUUCAAAGCAAUGUGGGGAGGAGGAGAUUUUGAAUUUAAACAUGUUCUCAAAGUGCAGGUAAAAUUUCUCAAAUGACUCUUUUGAGGACAUGAUAGGAACGGUGUUUCCGGUGGCCACAACAGUGAAGGAAAAUCAAUAGAUAUUCCAAAGAAGUUGACUACAGAUUUGCCAAAUGAUUAGGAGGAAAAAAAUAAAUAAAACCCAUGAGUGAUGCCUUAUCUGAUCUGACUUGAUCCCAGUAAAAUCCAAACGUUUUAUUUUGCCUUCCAAAUCACCUGUUUUGAAAGGUUUGCCUACACUUAGGUUAAAGAUGUCUCAAAUGGCACUUUUUUUUCCUUAAGUUUAUUUCUUUAGCUAGCCUAAUGUCUUUCUGCUUCUGGGUUGCUCUAAAUCAUGUCUUUGGGGUUCCUUAUCAAGCAGGAAACAUGCUGGAAGGCUGCUGAGGAUUCACCAUGUGUGUUCUAAAUGCUUUGGAGGCUCAGGACCUCAGUUUUUCAUGGUGUGGGAUAAGUUCUGAGCCUUAUCUGGGAUGUAGUCCAGCAGUGAGAGACUGGAAUUUUUAUGGCAACCUGAAGGAAACCUGGCUGAGUUCUUUUGACAUUUGGGCUACCUCUGAGCUGACAAGUUGCAGCACCAAGUGUCCCCAAAACACUGAUGGGGGUGGGUCCAACCUCUUUCGAUUGUGAGUCUCGGAUUUUUCAUGCAACAAACAGACAAUCUUCUGACCGCUUUCACCCUUUGUUUGACAUCAACUUGUGGCGAUUAGUGGGACAGAGAAAAUCUUUUGGGUUAAGAGUCUGUUGCAACAAUUUCAUAGGUCAGGGAGGAACCUCCAGUUAGCUAAUUUAAGAUCUAUUAAAGCAGAUCUAAAGAUGGGAGAUGGGCAUCAAGUAUCAGUGACUGGUCCGUGGGCCGUGAUGUUCCAUCAGAUCACGAGAUUCCGAGGCUAAUGCAAUGUCUGGCAAUGUUUCAGCCGUGAACAAACUCGGGAAAGGUAUCUCUGGAUCUAGAUUCACACCUUGCUCAGUCA
Molecule: long non-coding RNA, 3348 nt
Filed under: Ornithorhynchus anatinus (platypus)
Lineage: Eukaryota; Metazoa; Chordata; Mammalia; Monotremata; Ornithorhynchidae
Description: lncRNA (ENSOANG00000044431.1)
Source: RNAcentral